UUUUUUUUAUUCAAAUUCUGGAUUUAUUAGAGCUUAAAAAUGAGCUGGUUGGAGUAAAAUUCUGAUGUGUAUGUGCAUUCAUUUGGCAGCAUUUUGCAGAUCUCUUUGCUGCUCAGUUCCAGUCAUUGUUGGAGAAGGAAGGAUACCGCAUAGCUAGAGAUCACAUACAACCUAUGGUUCUUAAUUCUGAUGGCCAGUCAAGUAGUCAACAUCCAGCUGUUUUCCAGUGUGACACUGCAGCAUGUGGAUCCGUUCUACAGUCAUCUCCAACAUUAAUCCCAGGACCGUCAGCUUCCACACUUCGUCCCAUGAAGAGCAGAAUGUCAGCCCGUAGCUCCUGGCAGCUAUCGUCCCAAAAUAUUCAAUCUAGAAGCCCUCUGCUACCCCCUGUAAACUUCCAGUUGCCCUUCCAAAGCUUGUCCAAUAAUUUAUCCAAACCACAGCUUGACAUUGCUGCACAAGUGAGCCCAAUGAAUCCACAAUGGCCAGAGAUUUUGAACAAACAUGCCCAUUUACAGUUUCAGAUGAUGCAAAGGCAGAGACAACAGGAGCAACUCAUGCAAAAGAAGACAUUGUUGGGAGGAUUGGAUGCAGCUAUGGGCAGUCCAGAUAUAAUGCAAUUGGAUGGUAAUAUUCACAGGAUAGGAGAUGCUGUUAUGGCCUUGGAAGGGCCCAUGAAUUCACCACAAAGGGGACAAGUUCCCUGGAUUGGCAACUUGGGGCAGUUUAAUAAUCUUGGCAGCAAUAUAUCCAGUUUGAAUGAGAGGAAAAAAUGCUUUGGCAUGAUGUCUGAUCACCCUUCUUCACUUCUGGCAAAGCUGGGGCUGGGGGCGCCAGAAGCUGUUGGGGGAGCUAUGAUGAAUCGAAUUCCAAUCCAAAGAAGCAGUGGAGGGGUACAAAUGCAGAGACCAACUAUUCCAGACAUGGCUUUUCUUUCGCAAAAUCAACCACUGCCACAGCCACAGAUACAGCAGCAGUUGCAAAUGCCAUAUUCACAACAGCAAGCAGGUAGACUUGCUGAGCAUGUGAGUUCACCCUUAGGUCAGGUUAACCUACAACAAUUUGAUCAACUACAGCAAAUUGGCACCCUGCAAUGGAGCACCAAAUCAGCAGUACAGGGGACUAAUGAUGGGAAUGCCUUGUGCCAAUGGUAGUUCCUGAAUGAAAAAUAUCAUGUUUUGGCGUGGACGGUAGGACUCUUACCAUAUGACAAUAUGGGGUGCAUGAAUUGGGAGUGUGAUGUAAAUACCCAAAUAGAUGACAUACAAACAUACAGGAAAGUGUUCCUGGCCUUGCGUCUUUUGUUGUUGUUGCCUAGACUAGUGCUGUGUGAAACAUCCGUUCUUGAAAUUUCAAAAUGGUUGGUUUUUGUUUAGUCAGUGGAUUCAACUUUGUUAAGUAUCAAUGAACUUUAAUUUAGUGGUUUUGGAGAUAUUUCUAAGGCUGUGAUGUUUUAAAUGUUUGACUAUCUAUGGAAAUGAAGAAAAAAUAAGUUUGCU
This 1499-nucleotide unclassified non-coding RNA is filed under the name Hevea brasiliensis (rubber tree). Lineage: Eukaryota; Viridiplantae; Streptophyta; Magnoliopsida; Malpighiales; Euphorbiaceae. The record is from RNAcentral.